RNAcentral lists this ribosomal RNA (520 nucleotides) under uncultured archaeon. RNAcentral's name for it is "partial 16S ribosomal RNA". It matches the Rfam family "Archaeal small subunit ribosomal RNA", at positions 345 to 875 of the family's 1478-position model. The record is from RNAcentral.
AACCCCCCCCCUGCGCAAAGGGUUACCCCCAGGGGCCCCCGAAAAAAGGGGGUUUUUCCUGGGCCUAAAMCCCCUAGGGAAUAAGAGGGGGGCAAGACUGGUGUCAGCCGCCGCGGUAACACCAGCCCCUCGAGUGGUGGGGAUGAUUAUUUGGCCUAAAGCGUCCGUAGCGGGCCGGGUAAGUCUCCCGUUAAAUCCAGCGUCUCAAGCGUUGGACUGCGGGAGAUACUGUCUGGCUAGAGAGUGGGAGAGGUGUACGGUAUUCUGGGGGUAGGGGCGAAAUCCUUUGAUCCCCGGAGGACCACCAGUGGCGAAGGCUGUACACUAGAACACGUCUGACGGUCAGGGACGAAAGCUGGGGUAGCGAACCGGAUUAGAUACCCGGGUAGUCCCAGCCGUAAACGAUGCACGCUAGGUGUUGGGGCGGCCACGAGCCGCCCCAGUGCCGCAGGGAAACCGUUAAGCGUGCCGCCUGGGGAGUACGGCCGCMAGGAUGAAACUUAAAAGAAUUUGGGGGGGA